RNAcentral lists this ribosomal RNA (1316 nucleotides) under Salmonella enterica subsp. enterica serovar Newport. RNAcentral describes it as "bacterial LSU rRNA". It matches the Rfam family "Bacterial large subunit ribosomal RNA", at positions 1 to 1348 of the family's 2925-position model. The record is from RNAcentral. Lineage: Bacteria; Pseudomonadati; Pseudomonadota; Gammaproteobacteria; Enterobacterales; Enterobacteriaceae.
GGGUUGUGAGGUUAAGCGACUAAGCGUACACGGUGGAUGCCCUGGCAGUCAGAGGCGAUGAAGGGCGUGCUAAUCUGCGAUAAGCGCCGGUAAGGUGAUAUGAACCGUUAUAACCGGCGAUACCCGAAUGGGGAAACCCAGUGUGAUUCGUCACACUAUCAUUAACUGAAUCCAUAGGUUAAUGAGGCGAACCGGGGGAACUGAAACAUCUAAGUACCCCGAGGAAAAGAAAUCAACCGAGAUUCCCCCAGUAGCGGCGAGCGAACGGGGAGGAGCCCAGAGCCUGAAUCAGCAUGUGUGUUAGUGGAAGCGUCUGGAAAGGCGCGCGAUACAGGGUGACAGCCCCGUACACAAAAGCGCAUGUGCUGUGAGCUCGAUGAGUAGGGCGGGACACGUGGUAUCCUGUCUGAAUAUGGGGGGACCAUCCUCCAAGGCUAAAUACUCCUGACUGACCGAUAGUGAACCAGUACCGUGAGGGAAAGGCGAAAAGAACCCCGGCGAGGGGAGUGAAAAAGAACCUGAAACCGUGUACGUACAAGCAGUGGGAGCACCCUUCGGGGUGUGACUGCGUACCUUUUGUAUAAUGGGUCAGCGACUUAUAUUCUGUAGCAAGGUUAACCGAAUAGGGGAGCCGGAGGGAAACCGAGUCUUAACCGGGCGUUAAGUUGCAGGGUAUAGACCCGAAACCCGGUGAUCUAGCCAUGGGCAGGUUGAAGGUUGGGUAACACUAACUGGAGGACCGAACCGACUAAUGUUGAAAAAUUAGCGGAUGACCUGUGGCUGGGGGUGAAAGGCCAAUCAAACCGGGAGAUAGCUGGUUCUCCCCGAAAGCUAUUUAGGUAGCGCCUCGUGAAUUCAUCUCCGGGGGUAGAGCACUGUUUCGGCUAGGGGGCCAUCCCGGCUUACCAACCCGAUGCAAACUGCGAAUACCGGAGAAUGUUAUCACGGGAGACACACGGCGGGUGCUAACGUCCGUCGUGAAGAGGGAAACAACCCAGACCGCCAGCUAAGGUCCCAAAGUCAUGGUUAAGUGGGAAACGAUGUGGGAAGGCCCAGACAGCCAGGAUGUUGGCUUAGAAGCAGCCAUCAUUUAAAGAAAGCGUAAUAGCUCACUGGUCGAGUCGGCCUGCGCGGAAGAUGUAACGGGGCUAAACCAUGCACCGAAGCUGCGGCAGCGACACUGUGUGUUGUUGGGUAGGGGAGCGUUCUGUAAGCCUGUGAAGGUGUGUCGUGAGGCAUGCUGGAGGUAUCAGAAGUGCGAAUGCUGACAUAAGUAACGAUAAAGCGGGUGAAAAGCCCGCUCGCCGGAAGACCAA